UACGGAGGGAGCUAGCGUUGUUCGGAAUUACUGGGCGUAAAGCGCACGUAGGCGGCCGUUCAAGUCAGAGGUGAAAGCCCGGGGCUCAACCCCGGAAUAGCCUUUGAAACUAGAUGGCUUGAAUCUUGGAGAGGUCAGUGGAAUUCCGAGUGUAGAGGUGAAAUUCGUAGAUAUUCGGAAGAACACCAGUGGCGAAGGCGACUGACUGGACCAGUAUUGACGCUGAGGCGCGAAAGCGUGGGUAGCAAACAGG
This 253-nucleotide ribosomal RNA is filed under the name uncultured bacterium. RNAcentral's name for it is "partial 16S ribosomal RNA". It matches the Rfam family "Bacterial small subunit ribosomal RNA", at positions 524 to 776 of the family's 1533-position model. The record is from RNAcentral.